Molecule: ribosomal RNA, 253 nt
Filed under: uncultured bacterium
Lineage: Bacteria
Description: partial 16S ribosomal RNA
Rfam family: Bacterial small subunit ribosomal RNA
Source: RNAcentral
UACAGAGGUGGCAAGCGUUGUUCGGAAUUACUGGGCGUAAAGGGCGCGUAGGCGGCGCGACAAGUCACUUGUGAAAUCUCUGGGCUCAACCCAGAACGGUCAAGUGAUACUGUCGUGCUAGAGUGCGGAAGGGGCAACUGGAAUUCUUGGUGUAGCGGUGAAAUGCGUAGAUAUCAAGAGGAACACCUGCGGCGAAGGCGGGUUGCUGGGCCGACACUGACGCUGAGGCGCGAAAGCUAGGGGAGCGAACGGG